CCGCCCGUCACAUCACGAAAGUGGAUUGUACUAGAAGUCUGCAGGCUAACCCGCAAGGGAGGCAGCGGCCCAAGGUGUGAUUCAUGAUUGGGGUG
RNAcentral lists this ribosomal RNA (95 nucleotides) under uncultured bacterium. Its description in RNAcentral is "partial 16S ribosomal RNA". It matches the Rfam family "Bacterial small subunit ribosomal RNA", at positions 1390 to 1482 of the family's 1533-position model. The record is from RNAcentral.